GCCGGUGUGGCUCAGUGGACAGAGCAUUGGCCUGCAGAUCAAAGGGUCUCGGGUUCAAUUCCGGGCAAGGGCA
Molecule: transfer RNA, 73 nt
Filed under: Myotis lucifugus (little brown bat)
Lineage: Eukaryota; Metazoa; Chordata; Mammalia; Chiroptera; Vespertilionidae
Rfam family: tRNA
About the family: Transfer RNA (tRNA) molecules are approximately 80 nucleotides in length. Their secondary structure includes four short double-helical elements and three loops (D, anti-codon, and T loops).
Source: Rfam by way of RNAcentral